UUAUUUUAAGAUUAUUUUUUAUUGUUGAAAAAAUUAAAAAUAAAUUGUUUUUAACAAAAAUUAAAAUUUAUAAUAUUUCAUUUUUUGGUUUUUUGUUUUAAAUUAAAAUAAUAAAUAUGGGGGAAAAAAAAUUUUGUUAUAAAUUAUAUUAGUUUAUUUUAAUUAAAAAUAUUUUUUAUUAAAUUUGUUUUUUUUAUUUUUUUAUAAAAAAUAUUAAUUUAAUUAUUAUUAUUGAGUUUAAUUUAGUUAUUUUUAAAAAAAUUUUGUAUAAAAUAAAUUUGAUAAUAAAUGUUUUUUAAAUUCUUUGGGGGUUUAGUUUAUGAUUUUUUGUUUCUGCUCAUUGUUAAAUAAAAGCACUUUUAGCGUGAUUAGUCAAAGGUAGCGAGGUAAUUUGUUUUUUUAUUGAAUUCUAGUAUGAAUGGAGAUUUUGUUAUCAAAUAUAUUUAAUUGAGAAAGAAUUUUGGAUUUAUUUAAAAAAUAAUAAAUUUAAUAAAACUAAGAAAAGUCUUUAGAAAUU
This 517-nucleotide ribosomal RNA is filed under the name Meloidogyne enterolobii. RNAcentral's name for it is "partial 16S ribosomal RNA". The record is from RNAcentral. Lineage: Eukaryota; Metazoa; Nematoda; Chromadorea; Rhabditida; Meloidogynidae.